GACGAACGCUGGCGGCGUGCUUAACACAUGCCAGUCGAACGGAAAGGCCCUGCUUGCCGGGUACUCGAGUGGCGAACGGGUGAGUAACACGUGGGUGAUCUGCCCUGCACUUCGGGAUAAGCCUGGGAAACUGGGUCUAAUACCGGAUAGGAGCCAUUUUUAGUGUGAUGGUUGGAAAGUUUUUUCGGUGUAGGAUGAGCUCGCGGCCCAUCAGCUUGUUGGUGGGGUAAUGGCCUACCAAGGCGGCGACGGGUAGCCGGCCUGAGAGGGUGGACGGCCACAUUGGGACUGAGAUACGGCCCAGACUCCUACGGGAGGCAGCAGUGGGGAAUAUUGCACAAUGGGCGCAAGCCUGAUGCAGCGACGCCGCGUGGGGGAUGACGGCCUUCGGGUUGUAAACUCCUUUCGCUAGGGACGAAGCUUUUUGUGACGGUACCUAGAUAAGAAGCACCGGCUAACUACGUG
Molecule: ribosomal RNA, 465 nt
Filed under: uncultured bacterium
Lineage: Bacteria
Description: partial 16S ribosomal RNA
Rfam family: Bacterial small subunit ribosomal RNA
Source: RNAcentral